AUGGCUAGGGGGUCAUGGCGACUUACCAAACCAUUGCAAACUCCGAAUACCGAUGAGUACAGCACGGGAGACAGAGCACCGGGUGCUAACGUCCGGACUCAAGAGGGAAACAACCCAGACCGCCAGCUAAGGUCCCUAAAAUUGGCUAAGUGGGAAACGAAGUGGGAAGGCUAAAACAGUCAGGAUGUUGGCUUAGAAGCAGCCAUCAUUUAAAGAAAGCGUAAUAGCUCACUGAUCGAGUCGUCCUGCGCGGAAGAUGUAACGGGGCUAAGCCACUAACCGAAGCCGCGGAUGCGCCGUAAGGCGCGUGGUAGGAGAGCGUUCCGUAAGCCGGCGAAGGCGGAUCGAAAGGCCCGCUGGAGGUAUCGGAAGUGCGAAUGCUGACAUGAGUAGCGUUAAAGGGGGUGAAAAGCCCCCUCGCCGAAAGCGCAAGGUUUCCUACGCAACGUUCAUCGGCGUAGGGUGAGUCGGCCCCUAAGGCGAGGCAGAGAUGCGUAGCUGAUGGGAAACAGGUCAAUAUUCCUGUACCGAUGUGUAGUGCGAUGUGGGGACGGAGAAGGUUAGCUCAGCCGGCUGUUGGAGUCCGGUUCAAGCCUGUAGUCGUGCCUGGUAGGUAAAUCCGCCGGGCUUAGAUGAGAGGUGAUAACGAGGAAGCUUGCUUCCGAAGUGAGUGAUACCCUGCUUCCAGGAAAAGCCACUAAGCUUCAGCUGCACACGACCGUACCGCAAACCGACACUGGUGCGCGAGAUGAGUAUUCUAAGGCGCUUGAGAGAACUCUGGAGAAGGAACUCGGCAAAUUGACACCGUAACUUCGGAAGAAGGUGUGCCCUUAGUAGGUGAACCCGCGCAGGGGGAGCUGAAUGGGGUCGCAGAGAAUCGGUGGCUGCGACUGUUUAAUAAAAACACAGCACUCUGCAAAGACGAAAGUCGACGUAUAGGGUGUGACGCCUGCCCGGUGCUGGAAGAUUAAAUGAUGGGGUGCAAGCUCUUGACUGAAGUCCCAGUAAACGGCGGCCGUAACUAUAACGGUCCUAAGGUAGCGAAAUUCCUUGUCGGGUAAGUUCCGACCUGCACGAAUGGCGUAACGAUGGCCACACUGUCUCCUCCAGAGACUCAGCGAAGUUGAAAUGUUUGUGAUGAUGCAAUCUCCCCGCGGAAAGACGGAAAGACCCCAUGAACCUUUACUGUAGCUUUACAUUGGACUUUGAACAGAUCUGUGUAGGAUAGGUGGGAGGCUUUGAAGCGGUGCCGCUAGGUGUCGUGGAGCCAACGUUGAAAUACCACCCUGGUGUGUUUGAGGUUCUAACCUUGGCCCGUGAUCCGGGUUGGGGACAGUGUAUGGUGGGCAGUUUGACUGGGGCGGUCUCCUCCCAAAGCGUAACGGAGGAGUUCGAAGGUACGCUAGGCACGGUCGGAAAUCGUGCUGAUAGUGCAUAGGCAUAAGCGUGCUUGACUGCGAGACUGACAAGUCGAGCAGGUACGAAAGUAGGACUAAGUGAUCCGGUGGUUCUGUAUGGAAGGGCCAUCGCUCAACGGAUAAAAGGUACUCUGGGGAUAACAGGCUGAUACCGCCCAAGAGUUCAUAUCGACGGCGGUGUUUGGCACCUCGAUGUCGGCUCAUCUCAUCCUGGGGCUGUAGCCGGUCCCAAGGGUAUGGCUGUUCGCCAUUUAAAGAGGUACGUGAGCUGGGUUUAAAACGUCGUGAGACAGUUUGGUCCCUAUCUUCCGUGGGCGCUGCAAGAUUGAGAGAGCCUGCUCCUAGUACGAGAGGACCGGAGUGGACGCACCUCUGGUGUAUCGGUUGUCACGCCAGUGGCAUUGCCGAGUAGCUAUGUGCGGAAGAGAUAACCGCUGAAAGCAUCUAAGCGGGAAACUCGUCUCAAGAUGAGUCUUGCCGGGGCCUUGA
This 1907-nucleotide ribosomal RNA is filed under the name biofilm metagenome. RNAcentral describes it as "bacterial LSU rRNA". It matches the Rfam family "Bacterial large subunit ribosomal RNA", at positions 915 to 2823 of the family's 2925-position model. The record is from RNAcentral.